Thalassophryne amazonica is the source of this 104-nucleotide long non-coding RNA. RefSeq lists it as uncharacterized. NCBI's taxonomy places the organism in Eukaryota, Metazoa, Chordata, Actinopteri, Batrachoidiformes, Batrachoididae. The record is from RefSeq and is a predicted model, not a curated record. The transcript has 2 exons.
AGCUUUUUGGUGAGUUUUUCUUGGUUUAAAACACAGUGGUAUUUGACUCUUAUACUGGAACAAAAUAUGGCUCAAGUCUUGAUUUCAUUAAAAUGUAUUUACUA